CAACACAUAGAAACGUAUAGCGGUAUCUGUAGGCCGUAGAUAUCUAUAUAUAGUGUCCCCCUUUCUAUUCUCUCUUUCCCUUACAGCGAGCUGCCACCGUCACAGUGCGUAUCGGAGGCGUCCCCUACUUCUUCGUAUCUCGUCCUCUUUCACGAGGCGCUGUCCAAGACUCGCACACGCAGGCAUCCGCCAGCACUCACAUUUGUGGUGUCGCGACAGACUCGCUCUCUUCCUGCCCCCCUCACCCUCUCCCAACAGACGCUCUCUGUGUGUCUCUCGUCCUCUUUAGCAUUUUUUGUUGCUUUCCAGCCUCGAAAGCGUGGCGGCCCUUCUUGCGUCACCACCACGGCGCUUUCCAUUUGUUUUGCGCGACUGCCCCCCCCCCCCGACCUAACCCUUCGCCCCCUAAGCCCUGCUCGAUCUUCUCUCUUUGGCGCUCUGCCUCUCGACCCCUUCUUGUAUUUUUUUUUCGCGUUGUGUUGUUUACCUUUUCCCCCUAUCGUGGCUGUCUUGUGUGUGCGCGUAGUCCCUUCGUUCGGGAAACUGGGUGCGUUACGCUGUGUUGCCUCCGCUAAAUCGUGCUCUUCGUGAGGGUGCACCCACUCCCCCCAGCCUACUCCCCUGCUGUGCACGUCAUCGGCCAGGAAAAGUCAAACAUUGCUGUUCUCGCCUCAACCCCUCUCGCGUGUCUCAGUCGUUGUUCUUGUAGUGUAUGGGUCUUUGGCUUGCCCUACAGCGCCCCCUCCCUUUUUUUCUGCUUCCUUGUGCACGGUUUUCUGACGCUCUUUUCGCGUGCGUACAGGGAGUCGGCUCGUGCCGGUGCUCGUUUCUCAGCGUGCAUCUGCGGUGCCUGACGCCGUCUCAGGUCUUCCUCUCUCUGUAUCUCUCCGAUUUGCAUGAUUGUGCCCUUGCAACGGCAACGGUUUCGGCCUCGCGCUUCUUUUCGUGUCUUCUCGAUCUCAAUUGUCUGCGCGACUGCUUAGACGUAUCGUCGGUGUCGUGUGUUCCUCACGAGGGUGUCGAAUUCAUUGAUUGAUUACGCUCUGUGUUGUUUGCUUCUCUCGAAUCUUUUUUGUGUGUGUUUUAUCGGCUUCUGUUGUUGUAAACUUCUGCAGAUUUUGCAGUGGGUGUGAGUGCUUCAUCUGUUUUUUUUUUUCAGUGCGCGCGGGGCGGGGUGUAUGCGUUUGCGUUUGUGCAGGCUCUCAUUGUCAGUACUCUCUCACGCGAACAUCUCCUGCAGCUAACACUGAUCAUUCACACGUUUGUUGCGUGUAGCCCAUCUUGGGUAACUGGAGACUAGUUUUCUUCUCCCUGUGCGGUAUAGGCUUGCUGGUGUUUCUUUCUUCGGCAUUUUCUCCCGAAUAGCAGUUCUCUGCUGCGGUUCUCUCUGAAUACGUCGAUAAUCCACUUUAUUCGCAUAUUGGCUCUCGCGGUGUGCACACGGGGGCGCCUUCCGCUGUCUCUCACGCGCGAUACGCAGGAAGUGCAGCAACGGUAGAGCUCGAUUUGUGGGAACAAAGAAAACAACAACAAAAGGGAAAACUACCAACAACUGCCUGGCAACGAAACAUUGCCUCGCAGACGCCUCACCACAGAGUCACUAAGUGGGUCUUCUGCAUCCACUCAACACCUUGGCGCCUUUUGAACCGCGCAUCGCUUCACUUCCUUCUUUUGAAGCUACAUGAUUCAGCCCCCCCCGUCGCUUUCUCAAAUUUUGUUUCCUUCGCAAAUUCGUUUUCUAGCGUAUUGUUUCCUUCUUUUUUUUUCGCGUGUGCGUGUGCACGGACGUGUGUGUGUGUGCCGGUGUCUUCUCUUUCGCCAUUUUUUGUUGAUAGGCUGUUGGUGUUGUUGUUCGUGGCGGCUUCGGAGCGCUCUGUGCAUGGACUCCGUCUGCCUCCUUCCCUUUGUGCGUGUGUGUGAGUGUGUGUCUUUUACCCCUCCUUUUUCCCUGCUGAUCCUCACCCUCGCGUGUCUUUAGAGGCCCCGUCUGCGUUCCAGGCUUGCGUAGGCACCUCCUCCGACCGAAAGGCGAACGCCCAUCAGGUCUCAGCCCUCCAUCGCUCCGCCACUCCUCCUGCUCUCCCCCUUGGGCGCUUCGUUCGAGUGCGGUUCUGGUCGGCGUCCUCGCGCCUGAGUUUGCGUCUACAGGAGCGUUGUCAAUCUCGAUUUCCAACGCUUCAUCCGAAUCGGCCUGUACUUUGGCCCCGUCUAGACUGUGCCGCUGCACUCCGCCUGUCCGUCUUAAUCGCGUGCUUUCUCUACACCGGCAGCUGCUCACGCGUCUUUUUCGUGGGCGCGGGUACACUUCGCUUUCUGUACGUCUGGAUAGGUGUGCGCUCUGCUCCCUUUCUGAUUUCUGUCGUGCCCCGGCUCCUGCACGCUCUACCUCUGACCCUCUUUCUCUCUCGUUCGCUGGGCUGGCAGGUCCCUUGUCUAGGUGCGCUUCUUUUUGCGUUGUGUAUCUGUAGUCUGGCUCAUAUCAAUAAGAUUCGUCUAACUGGGUGUGUGCGUGUGUAUAUAUCCCCGUGUGCGUCCGUCUCCCACCCACUCGUCCGCCUUUGCCCUAUUCCUCUGCUGUUUCUGCGUUGUGGUGUUGUCGUGUCGGUUCGUGUGUGCUCAUUUGUUUUUGCUUAGCGCUUCGUCGCUCCUUUGUUUUAGUGUGGCUGUCUCGGUGCACUGGCUGUGGUGCCGGGCCUCGACUACGGACCCGUUUCUCGCUGGUGCUGUUGUGGCGGUGGAGGGGGUAUCAGCUCAUCGGCAUUCGUAUGCGGUUUUACUGCUCACCGUACUCAUCCGCACUCUCCAAUUUUUGACAUUCGUGACUUGUGUGUCCCACUCAACUCUACUCCCUCUGCGUCGAGUCACGCUCUCGCCCGGGCGCUGUCGUUCCCACGACGCCCACUCCUGCAUUGACUUCUUGUCAG
RNAcentral lists this unclassified non-coding RNA (2924 nucleotides) under Leishmania donovani. Its description in RNAcentral is "gene:unknown". The record is from RNAcentral. Lineage: Eukaryota; Euglenozoa; Kinetoplastea; Trypanosomatida; Trypanosomatidae.